UGUAGGUUGUUUAUCUUUACAUUUAGGCUGUUUUGUUUUUAUUAUCUUGUGUUCAAAGGGGACAAUAAGCUUUCAGUGAGAUGCAGAAGAACAGGCAGACCCUUAAAACACCCCAUAAGUUCCUUUUAUUGUUUUGUUUGCUCCAGCGAGCUCAUCCAGCCUUGGGGGAGACAUGAAGGCAAACACACUGACCAAGAGAGAGACAUGAGACAGAGGUAAAAUGCAAGCACAAACGUGGCAUUUAUUGUCUUCCAUACCAACAAGAGGAGACACCGACACCAACAAAAAACUUGCACUGGAAGUAACUUGCUGCCUUUUAUACACUCCCUCCUGCAGCUUCAUGGUUUGCUCCUGCAGCUCUUAAGCAGGUGCUUGGGCCUACAACACUCCUUUGCCUCCGCCCCCUGCUGAAGAGACAACCAGGAAGAGGCAGGAUGGCCAGACCCCCCCCUGUGGAACCACUCACAAAGACAGCCAUCAAAUGAUUCACAAAUAAAACAAUCAA
Long non-coding RNA from Micropterus dolomieu (smallmouth bass), 505 nucleotides. RefSeq lists it as uncharacterized. The record is from RefSeq and is a predicted model, not a curated record. The transcript has 4 exons. Lineage: Eukaryota; Metazoa; Chordata; Actinopteri; Centrarchiformes; Centrarchidae.